AUGACCUUUGUUUGGGGAUUAUGCUCGCUCACUUUAAAUUCUCCACCCAUCUUCAAUAAUUUGAUGAACUUCGUUACUACUUCGAGAAGAAAAUGUAUUCAGCUACACGAGCUUUCCUUAAAUUUUUGGUUGUAUCGUCACAUCUGUGCCAGACAUGCUUUAUUACACAGGACAACAAUAGCAAUUAUAUAUAAUUUUUAUUUAAUAGCAAUUUACAUUUACUAG
Vicia faba (fava bean) is the source of this 225-nucleotide non-coding RNA. NCBI's taxonomy places the organism in Eukaryota, Viridiplantae, Streptophyta, Magnoliopsida, Fabales, Fabaceae. The record is from the annotation of a GenBank genome assembly.